This 447-nucleotide ribosomal RNA is filed under the name Cantellius cf. euspinulosum CEL_JJ37_04. RNAcentral's name for it is "partial small subunit ribosomal RNA". Lineage: Eukaryota; Metazoa; Arthropoda; Thecostraca; Balanomorpha; Pyrgomatidae. The record is from RNAcentral.
UAAAAAUAAGAAAUUUUUUGAGAUUAUUAGGUAGAAUUUUAAUUUUAAAUAAUAACAAUAUAAAUAUACAUAAAAAUUAUAAUUGGGACCAGGAUUAGAUACCCUGUUACUUAUAUUUAAAAUAUUUUGGAAUAGUAGUACUAAUGAAAUUUAACGGAUUUGGCGGCAAGAUAGCCAUUUAGAGGAACCUGCCCUAUAAACGAUGAUCCACGAUUAAACUCUACUUUUAUUUGCAUUUCAGUUUGUAUACCGCUGUUGUCAGUCAGUUUCUCUAGAAAACUUUCAUUCAUGAUAAUAUCAUUGACUUCAAGUAAAGGUGCAGCUUAUAUAAAAGACAGAGGUGGGUUACAUUUAGUAGAUUAAAACGGAUGAAGUUGAUGAAAAUAGCUUUUGAAGGUGGAUUUGAUUGUAAAGUUUAUAUAAACUUGAUGUGAGCUCUAUCUUGUG